Homo sapiens (human) is the source of this 2196-nucleotide long non-coding RNA. The record is from Ensembl. NCBI's taxonomy places the organism in Eukaryota, Metazoa, Chordata, Mammalia, Primates, Hominidae.
UGAAAAUGAUAUAACAGGAUGGAGCAAAAAUAGAAGACAAAGGAACGAAGAGACUUAAAACAACAACAACGACUACAACUACAACAACAUUUGGCUGGGUGCAGUGGCUCAUGGCCGUAAUCCCAGCGCUUUGAGAAGCCAAGGCAGGAAGAUCACUUGAGACCGGGAGUUUGAGACAAGUCUGGGCAACACAGCAAGACCCCCAUCUCUACAAACUAUUUUUUAAGAAAUUAGCUGGGCAUGGUGGUGCAUGCCUAUAGGAUUAGCUACCUGGGAGGCUGAGGGUGUUGGAUUGCUUUAGCUCAGGUGUUUAAGGUUACAGUGAGCUAUGAUCAUACCACUUGCAUUCCAGCCUGGGUGACAAAGUGAGACUAUGUCUCUAAAAUUAAAUUAAAUUAAAAAAACACUGUCUGUCCCCUGCAAAGUUUUACAAUACUGAUGUAAUUAUUUAGUUUUAAUCAGGUUGGCCAGUUUCUGGCAGGUGCUGCAAAAGCAACAUUUAAAUAGAAUAUGGCUAGAUGGACUGCUUUCAUAUGUGCAAAUGCUGCAGGUUUUCCCAAAAUAACCUGUUAGAAAUUUCAUUGCUAUUUUCUUAAGACUUACAGAAUGCUGCCUAAAAUAUGGAUGACCAAAUUAUGUUUUUCUAAAGGCAAAAUCAAUACAUUCUGUGAUCUAGAAAAGAUGAUUUUGAAAACUAAGAGCAGAACAGCAACAUAUAGGGAGAGGUGCAUAUGUGUUUGUUUUGCAUCUUAAUUUUAAAACUAUUAUUUGAAGAUAAAUCUUAUCUUUAAUUUCAUAAUCUACUUUGCAUGAAGGCAUUUGUGUUUCACUAAGAGGUCACUCACCUGUACAUCUUUUUGUACAUUUAAGGAGUCAAUGGAAAUAAAAUUACAAAAAAGGGCUUUUAUCCCCCCAAGAAAUUAGGUCUUAGCAAGGAUCUCUUAUUCUCUACUCAAUCAGAGGUGCUGGCACUCCACUGAUGUCUAUAGAACAUCCUAAGGUCUCCAGUAGAAUAAAUCAAGAAAUAAAUAUAUAAUAUAUAAUACACAAAUAUAUACAAUACUAAGUGUGUGUGUGUGUGUGUGUGUGUACUUAAAUGUUUGUGCAUGAAAGAAUGUAUAAUUACAGUUUAUAAUGCUCCUUCAAUAUGAAUACUGGGUUAAAGUAAGUUCACCAUGUUCUUUAUAAUAAGGUGCUGGGGACUUGGGGCAGAGCAAGGUGGAGGAAUAGAAGGCUCCACCGAUUUUCCACUCAAAGUGGACACCAAUUUAGCAGCUAUCUACACAAGAAAAAACCUUCAUAAGAACCAAAUACAAGGUGAGCACUCAAAGUACUUGGUUUUAACUUCAUAUUGCUGAAAGGCACUGAAGAGGUAGGGAAAAGCAGUCCUGAAUCACUAGUGGCAAACCUCCCCCCAAUGCCAGCAGCAGUUGUGUGAUGCUGAGAGCGUGACUGUGACAGAGAUGCCGUAUAUCUUGAUUGUGAUUGUGUAUACAUGGUUAUAUACAUUUGUCAAAAUUCAUCAAGCUGUACAUUGAAGAAUGGAGAAUCUUACUGUAUGUGAAUUAUACCUCAAUAUAUCCAGUAAUUGUGACUUGAGCGAUAAGACUAUCAUAUCAAGAUGUUGUCUGAUAGACCAGAUACUGUGGGACUACCAACUCCUUGAUUUGAAUAACAUUCUAUAAAUGUACUUAAAACUGGUGUUUGAUUUAGGACAUCCAUUUUAUAGUUUUGUUUCAUAUCAAGCUUGUAAUCCAUUAAAACAUCCUAUAUGUAUCUAGCUUAUAAAAAAUUAAAUGCAGUAUUUCAUAAUAAUACUUUAAAGAUUUCAUCUUAUGUAUUUAAAUCUAUUAUAUGAACUUGAUGAAAUCUUUUGUAAUCUACAUAUUGCUAUACAAAGGAUUAGAUAUUCUAUACAGUCUUGUGUCAUUUACAAUUUAGUCAAUAUGCUUUUUUCACAAAUCAUCAGAAAAAUGCAAAUAAAAAAACCACAAUGAGAUACCACCUUACCCCAGCCACAAUGGCCAAUAUUAAAAAGUUAAAAAACAGAUAUUGGCAUAGAUUGUGGUGAAAAGGGAAUGCUUAUAUGCUGUUGGUGGGAAUGUAAAUUCGUACAACCUCUAGGGAAAACAGUAUGGAGAUUCCUCAAAGAACUAACAGUAAAUCUACCAUUCAACACAGCAAUCCCACUACUGU